This 1086-nucleotide long non-coding RNA is filed under the name Anser cygnoides (Swan goose). RNAcentral's name for it is "lncRNA (ENSACDG00005007955.1)". The record is from RNAcentral. Lineage: Eukaryota; Metazoa; Chordata; Aves; Anseriformes; Anatidae.
AAAAUAAUCUUAUUUUCCUAACACAGAAAAGAAGUGAAGUGGGAAUAAAAAUGUUGUUUUGGCAGAGUUACAUUGUUUAAAGGUAAGGAAUGGGGUAUUGAGAUAUGCUUGCAGUGAUAAGAAAACUUAGAAGAGGACCUUGUAAAAUGCAGACAACCAGACUCCUUAGGACAAUUAGGUAAAAAUCAUGGUGUUAAGUCAAGUCAGAUAAGUGAAGAAACAUUACCACUUCAAACAGUAAAAAAGGUCUAAAGAAAUUUGAAAUUUAACAGGCCAGCAACUGAAGGCCAUGCAUUGUCUGGGAAGCAUCGGAUAGAUUGUGAACCUGGAUUACCCACUCAGUGGGGAAACAGGGGAGGGUCCUGUCAUCAAAAAGUGUAUAAACUGUGUUUUGGAACCAGUAGGUGCGCUCCUGCUUGUGGGAUGCCUGUCACUGCAAACGCGAAUAAAUUACGACUUCACUGAGAUCCUUGUCUGAGCCAAAGUUAUUGGCUACGAAGUGUUUCUCACAAUUUGGGGGCUCGUCCGGGAUCCAGUCACCUACCGAAGAGCCCCACCACCAGCCCCACCACCGUAGCAGCAGGAAGGCAUGCCCCGCUGAUUUCAGCGGUCCUGUGCAUCGACGGUGUCGGUUCUGAGGUGAGGCGGGUGAGACUCUGUGUGACGUGUGAUUGAGACGUACUUUUGUAUGAAGCGAGUGUGGAGUCCUGAUCUGCGGUUCCGUAGCUCCGCGAGGGGCACGGCCAGAGAUGGACGAAGCGUGAGAUAAAGGAGAGAAAGGAAGAGUCUCGGGAAAUUUGGUGUACAGUAGCCCUUGUUUGGCAGUACACCAGGGAAUGUGGUAAACUCAUAGGUGUGCGGUACCCCUUGCACAGGGAAGUGCUUGGCAGUACACCCCCAUUUUCCAGAAUCGGAAUAAUGGGAAAUAUGAGUUCCAGGGGACAGGGAGAUAUCCCUGGGGGAGUGCCUACCAAAAGUUCUUCCUGAAGAAUUAUAAGAAAUUGGAAAAAUAAUCUCAAAAUUGGAGGAGAUGAUAAAAGGAAAAAAAAAAAAAAGGUUAAAUAUUGUGUAUUAGUCUGGACAAAA